Sapajus apella (tufted capuchin) is the source of this 2212-nucleotide long non-coding RNA. RefSeq lists it as uncharacterized. The record is from RefSeq and is a predicted model, not a curated record. Lineage: Eukaryota; Metazoa; Chordata; Mammalia; Primates; Cebidae. The transcript is spliced from 2 exons.
ACUGGGAUUACAGGCAUAAACAAUUGUGCCCAGCCUGAUUUUGUUUACUUUUUAAUUUUUUUUUUUUUUAACCAGGUCAUACGUUCAAAAUGUUGGGAAAUUUCAAAAGGUAUAAAAGCGUCAUUAUAAAGUCUCUUUCUCAACUUUGUUCUUCUAGAAUCCCAAUUCACCAGCCUGGAGGUGCUUAAUGUUGCUGGUUUCUUAUGUAUUCCUCCACCAAUAUAUGAAAACAUAAGACAUAGAAAGUAAAUAUAUUUAUUUUAAAUGAGACAGAGAGAGAGAGAGAGAGAGGAAGGGAGAGAGAAUUUUUUUAAACCCAAGGCAAAUCAAAAGGGUAUGCAGUGGAAAACAAGUUUAUUCCUGGUGUGAUCAUCAGUUUUCUCUUCAGAUUCACUCUUACCAAUUUCCUGUGUGUCUCUUUAAGAGAUAGGACACUGUUAGUUUGUUAAGCGAUUCAGGUGAUUCUUAUAAUCUUGUGUUUGGGAUACCCCAGUUCUAUAAUAUAAAUUAGAGACUGAAACAGCUGGAAAACCUCACUUGGUUACACAUGAGUUGCAUGAAAUGCGUUACUCAGAUUCUGGAUGUCUUAGUUACAUUUGUUCAUGUAAUCAUUAUUUACCAAAUAACCAUUAUUUGCCAGGCCCAGUCAAUGAUGAGCAAUGAACCUAGCUCACGAGAGCUUGCAGUCUUCACACAGGAAAUAGCCACCUGCACCUGUAAAGGUCCGCACAGGACGCUGCAGAAGCUCCUUGGCAGCAGAACUGAGUGGAGGCUUCUGGAAGGAAGGGAUUUCCACUGAGGUACCGAUGAGACCUCUUUAGUAUUACACUGGCAACCGAUUGCCCUGAGGAUAUGUUUGGAAUAAGGUAAGCCUGCAGCCACGGCUUUUUUGUCUUUUGGAGUUUUGGCCAGAAUGAACAGAGCUUAUGCAAAGUACAUAAUUGAAAAUACCUUUGUUUUGUGCCUUGAGCAACCGCCAGAGGACUUUUAAACUGUGAUGGUGACUAACAAAAUAAGACCUUUGCUAUUGUGCUGAGAAAUGUGAAGAAUUUUAUCCAUUCUUUCGUUCUUGCUAAAUGGUGCAUUGUAUGCUAUCUGUGUGGUUUGGGUCUAGGACAGAUUUCUCUCUGAACUUCACAGCAUGGGUGGAAGAGAGUAAUUUGGCCUUUCGUUUUCCCUGGCAGCCGGUGCCAGUCCAUUUAUAUGGUAUGUUCACAGGAGAGCUGACAAGUGUUGAGAGGUUUUAUUUGAUAUGCGUUUUUUUUUAAGUAGAAAAAAAUCCGUAAAAAUAGGUACUUGUUAGCUAGUUUUCCUGGUUAGUCUUCAGAUCAUAACCAAAUGUUUCAUUAAGGACUUCCACCCCAAAUAGACUAGCUACAUUGAAACAUUCAGGCUGUGUUUAAUAUUCACAAUGUAACCAUUCAUGGCAUGGGCAGUUUUUAAUGAUAGAAAUGCAAACCCACAUUAUUUUUCUGUGUAACUUGUAAAAGCCGUGCCUUCUAAAAUGGGGCUGCUUAUGCUAAUUUGUUAUAGUUAGUGAAUUGCAGGCAGCUCUGUGAAUUUACUUUUCUUGGCAGUUCUAGAAUAUCCUGCCAUAACACAUACUGAAAAACUGUUUGAUGGGUUAUGAAAAUCUGGAUGUACUAAAGGUACAUCUUGUGCAAACCAUAAAAUAAAUAGAUGAUUACAUUUUUAAAAAUCUGUUAUCAGGUUAAGGAAGUUGUCAUUUAACAACCCAAGGAAAAUUAAGCAGUUUUGAAUGGAUGCUAUAUUUUUUCUACUUGUACAUACUGUAAACACUUUCAGUAUCCAACCCUUGCUCUGUUUUUCUGGUCUUUCUGAAAAGACUGCCUAUUGGAGGUAAACUGUAUUUCAUAGAGGGCAUAUAGAACCUAUCUUGGAAGUGGAUGACACCUCGUUGCAAAGGUUAAUUUUCUCAGUAAAGCAUAGAAAGCACUAGUUGACAGAAGUAUUGGAUACAAUAUGUAUUUUGGAAUUCUUAUUAUUUUUAGUCAAGCCAGCAAUGUUGGCCUUAAAGGAUGUUGAUUAUGGUGUCUGUCACUAUUAGUGUUGCCAGUGAUGUGUGAUUGCUUUGUUCAUGAUAAAUGAAUUAAGUAGAUAAUUUGGUUCUUUGCUGUGUUAGCUAUACCAAACCAACUCCUUUGAAACAGUCUAAUCUCGGGGAGCUUGUAAUUUUAAUAGAUGUUAAGAA